CCUGGUGGCUCAGGUGGUAAAGCGUCUGCCUACAAAGCGGGAUACCCGGGUUCAAUCCCUGGGUCAGGA
Molecule: transfer RNA, 69 nt
Filed under: Bos taurus (domestic cattle)
Lineage: Eukaryota; Metazoa; Chordata; Mammalia; Artiodactyla; Bovidae
Also listed under: 1 other name
Rfam family: tRNA
About the family: Transfer RNA (tRNA) molecules are approximately 80 nucleotides in length. Their secondary structure includes four short double-helical elements and three loops (D, anti-codon, and T loops). Further hydrogen bonds mediate the characteristic L-shaped molecular structure. tRNAs have two regions of fundamental functional importance: the anti-codon, which is responsible for specific mRNA codon recognition, and the 3' end, to which the tRNAs corresponding amino acid is attached (by aminoacyl-tRNA synthetases). tRNAs cope with the degeneracy of the genetic code in two manners: having more than one tRNA (with a specific anti-codon) for a particular amino acid; and 'wobble' base-pairing, i.e. permitting non-standard base-pairing at the 3rd anti-codon position.
Source: Rfam by way of RNAcentral